This 497-nucleotide ribosomal RNA is filed under the name uncultured bacterium. RNAcentral's name for it is "partial 16S ribosomal RNA". It matches the Rfam family "Bacterial small subunit ribosomal RNA", at positions 28 to 507 of the family's 1533-position model. The record is from RNAcentral.
GACGAACGCUGGCGGCGUGCCUAAUACAUGCAAGUCGAGCGCUGAAGGCUGGUACUUGUACCAACUGGAUGACCAGCGAACGGGUGAGUAACGCGUGGGGAAUCUGCCUCUGAGCGGGGGACCACAUUGGGAAACGAGUGAUAAUACCGCAUAAAAACUUUAAACACAAGUUUGAAGUGUGAAAGAUGCAAUUGCAUUACUCAAAGAUCAUCCCGCGUUGUAUUAGGUAGUUGGUGAGGUAAAGGCUCACCAAGGCGAAGGUUCAUAGCCGACCCGGGCGGGAGAGCGGCCACGGUGGGACUGGGACACGGCCCCAACUCCGACGGGUAGGAGCAGUAGGGGAGCGUCGGAUAUGGACGAAAGUCUGACCGAGCUGCGCCGCGGGAGUGUAGAAGAUUUUCGGAUCGGGAAUGUCAGCUGGUUGAGAAGAACGAUAGUGAGAGUGGAAAGCUCAUCUAGUGACGGUAACUGCACAGAAAGCGACGGCUAACUACGUG